GACGAACGCUGGCGGCGUGCUUAACACAUGCAAGUCGAACGGUGAAGCGCCUUCCUUUUUGGUGGGUGUGGAUGAGUGGCGAACGGGUGAGUAACACGUGAGUAACCUGCCCCCUUCUUCUGGAUAACCGCAUGAAAGUGUGGCUAAUACGGGAUAUUCUGGGUCUGUCGCAUGAUGGGUCUGGGAAAGAUAUUGUUUCGGUGGGGGAUGGGCUCGCGGCCUAUCAGCUUGUUGGUGGGGUGAUGGCCUACCAAGGCGGUGACGGGUAGCCGGCCUGAGAGGGUGGACGGUCACACUGGGACUGAGACAAGGCCAAGACUCCUACGGGAGGCAGCAGUGGGGAAUAUUGCACAAUGGGCGCAAGCCUGAUGCAGCGACGCCGCGUGAGGGAUGGAGGCCUUCGGGUUGUGAACCUCUUUCGCCAGUGAAGCAGGCCUGCCUCGUUUGUGGGUGGGUUGACGGUAGCUGGAGAAGAAGCGCCGGCUAACUACGUG
RNAcentral lists this ribosomal RNA (494 nucleotides) under uncultured bacterium. RNAcentral's name for it is "partial 16S ribosomal RNA". It matches the Rfam family "Bacterial small subunit ribosomal RNA", at positions 28 to 507 of the family's 1533-position model. The record is from RNAcentral.